AGAAUUUGUAGAGUUUGGAGGGAUUCCAAGUGUCAUUCAGUCCCACCCUCUAUCAAUUCCUGGGCUUUAAAGUAAGAAAAGAUAAAGCUAAAUAUAAUACUAUGUGAAAUAGUAAUGAAUUAAUUGCCUGACAAUUUGCUGUUGUUUAUGAUACCCCAAAUUAUGAUGCCACCUCACUCUCCCUAAUGGUAGGGCUGGCCCCAGCCUUGGCUCCCUUCCAACAGCUCUCACUUAUUUCAGUUUUAUACUUCUUCAACAGUUAUGGCUUUGCCCAGUGAAUUCUGGGAAUUUUAGGCAGGUUAGCUACUAGGAAUGCUCUGUUCACGAUCCCUCCCCUCAUGGAACUACAAUUCCCAGGGCAUGGGGGAAGAGGUAAUGAGUUGGGGAACCAGUCUUAAGCCUGCAGUGUGAACCUGUAGCAAGAUUUCCAUUCUUUCUCUCUUUCCUGGCAGGGCCGCUGUUUCCAAACUCUUCCAACGUGCACUUCAUCGAGCGGCACAGGGAGGCGUUAAUCCAACGGACCAUCCCAGUGGAACCAGUGCUGGAUAGUUUGCAUGACUCCGUCCUCAGUGAGGAGCAAUACCAAAAAAUCACUGCCAAGGAAACUAACCCAGACAAGAUGCGAGAGCUCUACAAGCUUGUGCCAAGCUGGGACCUCCAGUGCAAGAAUAAGCUGUAUGAGGCACUGAAGGCCAAAAAUCCACAUCUCGUGAAAGACCUGGAAGGGCAGUGAGGCCCCAAGGGAAGGCAGAAGACAAGACCCUUUUCAAGGCACCACAAAUCCACCUCCUUAUUGCUAGGGGACUCCUGAAGACAAAGCCAUACCAUGUAUUUUCCCAAGAACUUACAUGCAUACCCUCCAAUAUUCCCAUAAGAACUGGAGUGUGAUUGGAGGAGGCUGUUCUCUACUCUGUCAAGGCCUUCAGCUUUGUUGGUGCUGAUGUCAUUGGGAGUGGACACUGGAUGGUUGGGGUUGUGCGACACUCCACUGUCACCUCAUUCUCCUUAGAACUACUGUGUGAGGAAGAGAGAGUGAGACUGAAUGCUUCCACAGCUGAGCUACGGUUGGGUCUCGUGGGCUUCCAUUGCUCCAAGGAGGAGGAGGACAACGACGACAACAACAACAACUUCACACCACAACCGCAGCCCUCACUGGCCACCAUCCAUCAGCACAAAGUUGAGUUGCGGAGCCUCUUGCAGCUGCUGCCCAACCCUUCUCAAGGCUUCAUUAUCCUCCUCCUUGUACAUUUUACUUCAGACGAUGGAGCCGUGACCUCAGAGGCGGCAUGGCUCUAGGACUGCCACACUGGCUCGGGUGCCUGCAGGCUCCGUGCUGCCCAAAACAGCACCGUGGGGCUUGCAUCUGCCCGCUGGAGGUGGUGGGUGGACCCCAUGGAGGUUCCACGCAGUGUGCCCCUGCCCCAGCUCACCCCUCCCCAUGGACAGCUUGCCCUGCCCCCAUGGGUGACUCGCCCUGCCCCCAGGCGCAAGGCGUGGGCACCGGCACGGGCACCCAAGUGGCUAGCUAUGCCACUGAUGAAUUCCUUUCCUGGUUCAAAGGGUGCAGGUGUUGCUGUGUUGAAAAUACUAAACUAUCACUUGCAAAUAAAUUAGUUUUGUGACUUA
Podarcis muralis (Common wall lizard) is the source of this 1626-nucleotide non-coding RNA. The record is from RefSeq and is a predicted model, not a curated record. Lineage: Eukaryota; Metazoa; Chordata; Lepidosauria; Squamata; Lacertidae.